This 251-nucleotide ribosomal RNA is filed under the name uncultured bacterium. RNAcentral's name for it is "partial 16S ribosomal RNA". It matches the Rfam family "Bacterial small subunit ribosomal RNA", at positions 524 to 776 of the family's 1533-position model. The record is from RNAcentral.
UACGUAGGGUGCGAGCGUUGUCCGGAAUUAUUGGCGUAAAGGGCUCGUAGGCGGUCUGUUGCGUCAGGAGUGAAAACUCGGGGCUUAACCCCGAGCCUGCUUCUGAUACGGGCAGACUAGAGGUAUGCAGGGGAGAACGGAAUUCCUGGUGUAGCGGUGAAAUGCGCAGAUAUCAGGAGGAACACCGAUUGCGAAGGCAGCUCGCUGGGACGUUACUGACGCUGAGACGCGAAAGCGUGGGAGCAAACAGG